Molecule: ribosomal RNA, 460 nt
Filed under: uncultured bacterium
Lineage: Bacteria
Description: partial 16S ribosomal RNA
Rfam family: Bacterial small subunit ribosomal RNA
Source: RNAcentral
CCUACGGGCGGCAGCAGUGAGGAAUAUUGGUCAAUGGGCGGAAGCCUGAACCAGCCAAGUCGCGUGAGGGAAUAAGGCCCUACGGGUCGUAAACCUCUUUUGCCGGGGAGCAAGGGCGGGGACGUGUCCCGUCCCGGAGAGUACCCGGAGAAAAAGCAUCGGCUAACUCCGUGCCAGCAGCCGGGGUAAUACGGAGGGUGCGAGCGUUAUCCGGAUUUAUUGGGUUUAAAGGGUGCGUAGGCGGGCCUUUAAGUCAGCGGUAAAAAUUCGGGGCUCAACCCCGUCCGGCCGUUGAAACUGGGGGCCUUGAGUGGGUGAGAAGAAGGCGGAAUGCGUGGUGUAGCGGUGAAAUGCAUAGAUAUCACGCAGAACCCCGAUUGCGAAGGCAGCCUUCCGGCGCCCUACUGACGCUGAGGCACGAAAGUGCGGGGAUCGAACAGGAUUAGAUACCCUGGUAGUC